CAUUAAUUGUUUAUUGGUUAAAGGCGUUUCAUGUCACCCAGAGGGCAUUUGUGCAGAUUUAGGGGACAGGGGCUAAAGUAGUUUGGUUAUGAAAACAAUGUCUGUGAGUGAUGUCUGUUUAUGGCUCAAGGCCUCGACUGAAUUGUUUACUGUGCUUCACACAGCCUGAUAAGGAGCAGUGGUACAGAGUGAAAAUGAUGAAUUAACGGUGUGAGUUUUAUUUCGCAGCGCCACAUGUUUGUGAUUGAGACUUAAUUGAAGGAGGAUCACACUGGGGAAAAAAAAGGGAUUGGCCAGCCCUUGUGUAACAUAUGUGUUAAAUACCUGUGAAUUUCACCCAAAACACCUUCUUUUGGAUUAAAUAUGUCAUUUUGCAUCUCACUCUCCUACCUGUGGGAUCUGGGUCUGUGUGUGUGCGCUGCGUUGUGACGUAGGCGCGUGCAUGUGUGCCCCGGUCACAGCUCCUUUCAGCAUGGCCGGAGGAGAGGUGCACUGGCAGACACAUGACACACACGCAGAUCACAUCCAUAUUUCUGUGUUGCAGAUGUACAGUAAAGAGCCAAAGACCCAGUACUGUCUCCUGCCUCUUACUUUCACGCCAGAACACAACGCAACGACAGCAGGCGUAACACUUGAACGGGUUGCACUUGGAUUUUAUUUACUUGGAUUUACAGUCUGUGAGCUGCAAAUGUUUGUAUGAAGGACAGAAAAAAAAGGUCAGUGUGAAGAGUGUCUGUGUGUUUGAACAAUAAACUACUGGAUAAUUUGAUCCUGUUGUUUCAUGAAUGAGUCUCAGUCGCUCGUUACUUUGGUAUAAAUUAUUUAUUCUUUAAUUUGUGUUGUUGGCAGAGAAGCUACAUCAUGUGAACUUCAUCAUCAUGUCACAUGUCAUCACAGAUUCAAAAGAUGUAAUAUUUGUGCCCCCAGACACCAAAACAUUGCCAGCAAAUUGAAACAGAAAAAAAAAACUGUAAGCAAAAAAAAAGAUGUAAGCAUGAAAACUUUUUUUCUGUUUUAAUGUCAAUAUUUACAGUGUCAAUUAAUCUUUUUUCAUGAUCAAUAUAUUUAUUUCAAUUGCAAUAUUAUUUUUCAGUUUCAUUUUAAGGUGGCAUCGUUUUAACCCCAACAAAACAAAACAAAAAUGACAGAAAGUCUGAUGUUUCCAUCCUCAGUAUUGGAAACAUGUUAAACUGCAUUUCCUAUAAAAUAAAAUAGAAUCAUAAUAAUCAUGGGAAUUUAUUGAUCUAAAUUCUGUUCUAGAUUGAGUGGCAAAAAAAAAAGAAGAGCUGCUGUUUGUUUGUGCAAGUGCAAGAAAUACACAUAACAUCCUUCUGCUAAUGUUUAAUAUACUGAAAUUAAUUCUAAUUAAUGAAAUUAAUGCCCUAAUAAAUUCAAAGAACUGAAGAUAAACAGGCCACAGGAAGCACUUUGUCACCUAUGCUGUGAUGUAAACUGUCGUGGUCCCUCAGACCUCGUCAUGUGAUCUGACAUUUACUGUUUGAUUUUGUUUGUUGUCAGGCAAUCAAAAUAUUCAUCAUUGUAAAAACUUUAUCAUGAAGCAUUUUUGAUGAGCUACAUUCCUCUUAAGUUUUGGUUUGGUUAUUUAUUCAUUUCCAUCCUUGUUCUUAUUGAUUUGACCAUCACAGCACUAUGAACUGUGGGUAAUCCCUCAGGUCCACAGAGAUGAGGACUUAUAGAAAAUGUGAAUAAGGACUCAAAGUGUGUGCAGAGAGCAGUCAUGCACUUGAUAACAUGGCAACAGGACGGCCCUGAGCCCUCAGAGGCCGACACAAAGCUGUGACUGUUUAUCUGCACGUCUCAAACACUCCUCCAUUUGUCUGCAUGCUAAGUGACCCGACUGAGCUCAGGGCACCUGGCUGCAGCCACAGGGGGAGCGCCAUAUUGCGACCUCCACACUAACCGGAAACACGUCACUUCAGUUAAAUUGACUUUGAGAGCAAAAACUAAAUUGUGUAUUUGUAACUAUUGAUGCUGCUGAUAAAUAAAUUUGGUUCUAAGUGUUUUUUAACACUCUGGGUUUGUUAAAAAAAAAAAAUCACCAUCCCUUCAGCUUGUUCGUGGCCAAAAGUGUCCAUGUGUUAUGUUUUUGUUUCUUUGCUACUUUUUCUUUACAUAUAUCAUAUCACAAAUCACAUACAAGGAGACAGGAGGAAGCAGAACUGAAAACAAUAACAAAACAAUUGUUAUUGUUAGAUUGUUAAUAUUAGAUUGUUAAUAUCAACAAUCUAAUAUCAAUCCUAGAUAUUAGGGUGCAGGAAUGACAGGUGCAGAGGCCAUGCACAGAACUUGACUGCAUGCAGAGGUGGAGCCCCUUACCCUACCCAAGUUAAAUAAAUGUUAGUGUUUGAAAAAAAUGUACCUCUAAAAUACUUUUAUUGCACCAUGUUCAUUCACUCAUGUGCUGUUGUAACAUGAAUCAACAGGCUGAUUUGGCACCUCAGCAUGCAGUCACGUGCUAUAGAGUUUUACUGAUAACCUACUAAUUUUAUUCAGUUAUGUUGCAGCAGGGAAACAUGGAAAAGUUUCGGGACACCGACCCUCGAGUUUGACACCCGUGCUCUUAGUGCUUCUUAGUCUUCUGGGUGUUGAUCCUGCUCAGUCUGAAGGUGUGAUGCCAGGUCAGAUGGCCCAGGAUGUGAGUGGGCGUUAAGGCGUCUGGGAAGGGAUCUCAAAACUGGAUUAUAGAUGGCAGACAGUUGGUGUCAUAAAAGACUGCCUCUGU
Molecule: long non-coding RNA, 2743 nt
Organism: Oreochromis niloticus (Nile tilapia)
Lineage: Eukaryota; Metazoa; Chordata; Actinopteri; Cichliformes; Cichlidae
Exons: 4
Source: RefSeq, a predicted model, not a curated record